Molecule: long non-coding RNA, 549 nt
Organism: Gossypium raimondii (Peruvian cotton)
Lineage: Eukaryota; Viridiplantae; Streptophyta; Magnoliopsida; Malvales; Malvaceae
Exons: 4
Source: RefSeq, a predicted model, not a curated record
ACCCAGGUGCUUUUAUUCUGCUAUGCAUUUUACACAUAUGGUUUGUAAUUUGAUAUUUGUUGUUUCAUUUUUGUUUAGGUACAAGAAGCUCCUAAGCUCAGUGGAUCUUACAAAGGACUUCUUUUUCAGCUAUUCAUACAAUGUUAUGUGUAGUCUUCAAAAGAACUUGUAUAAUAAUAAACCAGGUGCAGGGCUUCUGAUUUUCCGAGGGAAUAUGACGGUGAAUGCCUUCAAAUGAGAAUGUCAUACAGUCCGACUGCACACCUCUUCCUAUUCUUGGUGCAGUGGACUGACUUUCACCUUGCAGGUGCACUCGGGCUGUUAAGAAUCUUAAUUUACAAAGUUUAUGUCGAUGGUACUACCACCAUGUCUACACAUGAAAGGAAAGCAAGCAUAAGAGAGUUCUAUGAGAUGAUGAAGAUGAUUUUGUUGCCAAGAUGAAGGCGGUGAGGAAGCCUUGGAAGCAAAACAAAAAGUAACAAAUAGCUUGUCUGCUACCUGUUUUUUUUUUUUUUUCAUGUUUUAUAAUUUUGUGACAAAUUGUUCUUG